This 1459-nucleotide ribosomal RNA is filed under the name uncultured Bordetella sp. RNAcentral describes it as "partial 16S-23S ribosomal RNA intergenic spacer". It matches the Rfam family "Bacterial small subunit ribosomal RNA". Lineage: Bacteria; Pseudomonadati; Pseudomonadota; Betaproteobacteria; Burkholderiales; Alcaligenaceae. The record is from RNAcentral.
AGUUCGAUUAUGGCUCAGUUGAACGCUGGCAGGAUGUUGCUUUACACACAUGCAAGUCGAACGGCAGCACGGACUUCGGUCUGGUGGCGAGUGGCGAACGGGUGAGUAAUGUAUCGGAACGUGCCUGAUAGCGGGGAUAACUACGCGAAAGCGUAGCUGAAUACCACGCGCUACGCCCUUCGGGGAAAGCGGGGGACCUUCGGGCCUCGCACUAUUAAACGGCCGAUAUCGGAUUAGCAGCUAGUUGGUGGGGGUAACGGCUCACCAAGGCGGCGAUCCAUGCUUGUGGUUUGAAGGACGACCGAGCCACGCAGGAUGACUGGCCCAGACUCUACGGGAGGCAGCAGUGGGGAAUUUUGGACAAUGGGGGAAACCUGAUCCCAGCCAUCCCGCGUGUACGACGAAGGCCUUCGGGUUGUAAGCACUUUUGGCAGGAAAGAAACGGCACGGGAUAAUACCCGAUGCAACUGACAGUACCUGCAGGUAAAGCACCGGCUAACCACGUGCCAGCAGCGCGGUAAUACGUAAGGGUGCAAGCGUUAAUCGGAAUUACUGGGCGUAAAGCGUGCGCAGGCGGUUCGGAAGAAAGAUGUGAAAUCCCGACUUAGCACGGAACAUUUUAUUUCGAGCUAGAAUUAUCGAGGGAGGUGGAAUUCCGCGAUGUAGCAGUGAAAUGCGUAGAUAUGCGGAGGAACACACCGAUGGCAAAGGCAGCCUCCUGGGAUAACACUGACGCUCAUGAUAGCAGGAGCAGAGCAGGAUUGAAUACCUGAUGAUCGCCUAAACGAUAUCCAACUAGCUGUUGGGGCCUUCGGGCAGCGGUAGCGCAACUAACGUGAAGUUGACCGCCUGGGAAGUGGUCGCAAAUUCAGAAACUCAAAGGAAUUGACGGGGACCCGCACCAAGCGGUGGAUGAUGUGGAUUAAUUCGAUGCAGCAUGACAACACCUACCCUUAGGCAUGGAAUCCCGAAGAGAUUUGGGGAGUGCUCGCAAGAGAACCGGAACACAGGUGCUGCAUGGCUGUCGUCAGCUCGUGUCGUGAGAUGUUGGGUUAAGUCCCGCAACGAGCGCAACCCUUGUCAUUAGUUGCUACGAAAGGGCACUCUAAUGAGACUGCCGGUGACAAACCGGAGGAAGGUGGGGAUGACGUCAAGUCCUCAUGGCCCUUAUGGGUAGGGCUUCACACGUCAUACAAUGGUCGGGACAGAGGGUCGCCAACCCCGCGAGGGGAGCCAAUCGAAACCCGAUCGUAGUCCGGAUCGCAGUCUGCAACUCGACUGCGUGGAAGUCAGGGCUCGUAAGUAAUCGCGGAUCAGCAUGUCGCGGUGAAUACGUUCCCGGGUCUUGUACACCGCCCGUCACACCAUGGGAGUGGGUUUUACCAGUAGUUAGCCUAACCGUAGGAGGGGCGAUUACCACGGUAGGAUUCAUGACUGGGGUGAAGUCGUAACAAGGUAG